Molecule: non-coding RNA, 650 nt
Organism: Oryctolagus cuniculus (rabbit)
Lineage: Eukaryota; Metazoa; Chordata; Mammalia; Lagomorpha; Leporidae
Source: RefSeq, a predicted model, not a curated record
ACAUGUGAGAAACCCACUGAAGAGGAUACAAAGAGAGGUAUGCACCAUUAGUCACCUCUUGUGACACAACAAACCAGUUUUUAAAUGUAAACUGCAGACAUCCUGACCAAUACAGCAACAUAAGACAUUCAGGCCACUGGCUAGUAGCGACCAGUGAUGGGAUGACAGGAGGAACUGUUCAUAUACACCAUGACACCAACUCUUAAGAGAACAACUACUCUACUAGAAAUUCAUGUCUGGUGAAAUGGGGCCAGGUUCUUAUUCCUGUAUUUCCAAAUGGAACAAGAAGAACUGCCUUGCACAUCCUCUAGAAUCACACCUCAAGUGGUCCUUUGAUUCCAGCAGAGGGGUCUGUCCACAGGGCCAGAGCAGGAUAGGACCCUCUGUCUUCCCAGUGAAGCAAGACCCCAGAUGAGACUGAAGAGGAGACCAGGCCCAGGAGCUGGGAGGAAAAACAGGAGGACACAGAAUUCAGCUCAUGGCCUGCACAUCCUUGCAUCCAAAGCAUAUGUCUGGUCCCCAGCCUGGGGCUCCACUCACUGAGAGGACUAACACCUUCUGACACUGCCUGGACACAGGGCAGGAGGAUCAAUGCAGAAUCCACAGAGGUAAGACAAUGAGGAAGGAGGAAAUAGAGCCACUGUCCCUCU